RNAcentral lists this non-coding RNA (46 nucleotides) under Cinara cedri. It matches the Rfam family "Histone 3' UTR stem-loop". From Rfam's summary of the family: The mRNAs of metazoan histone genes lack a poly-A tail. 3' end processing occurs at a site between a highly conserved stem-loop (modelled by this family) and a purine rich region around 20 nts downstream (the histone downstream element, or HDE). The stem-loop is bound by a 31 kDa stem-loop binding protein (SLBP - also termed the histone hairpin binding protein, or HBP). The record is from RNAcentral. Lineage: Eukaryota; Metazoa; Arthropoda; Insecta; Hemiptera; Aphididae.
AAAACGGCCCUUUUCAGGGCCACUAAUUUGUUUUAUAUAUAUUAAU